Myotis lucifugus (little brown bat) is the source of this 74-nucleotide non-coding RNA. NCBI's taxonomy places the organism in Eukaryota, Metazoa, Chordata, Mammalia, Chiroptera, Vespertilionidae. The record is from Rfam.
CCCCAUGUAGCUCAGUGGGUAGAGCACCAGCCUGCACACUGAAGGGUCAUGGGUUCGAUUCCCAGUCAAGGGCG